GGGCCCAUGGCGCAGUUGGUAGCGCGCUUCGUUCGCAAUGAAGAGGUCGGGGGUUCGAAUCCCCCUGGGUCCACAA
This 76-nucleotide transfer RNA is filed under the name Microbacterium bovistercoris. Its description in RNAcentral is "Microbacterium sp. NEAU-LLE tRNA-Ala". It matches the Rfam family "tRNA". Rfam says of the family: Transfer RNA (tRNA) molecules are approximately 80 nucleotides in length. Their secondary structure includes four short double-helical elements and three loops (D, anti-codon, and T loops). Lineage: Bacteria; Bacillati; Actinomycetota; Actinomycetes; Micrococcales; Microbacteriaceae. The record is from RNAcentral.